GCCAAGUGGGUUUUACUCUUCACUGUUUCUCUCUGUUUUGUAAAGUUCAGAAUUUUCCAUUGUUCUUCCCAGUAAGAUUUUACAAACAAGUUGGUAUUCUAAAUUGCCUUUGACUACUAUAUCUCUCUGGUUGGCAAAUUGCUUCAGUAAUUCAGGAUUGAGUUCUUUCAGAUCCCAGGUUAAGAACCACUGAUCAAAGGGAUCUCUCUGCUCCGGAGCCAGGCAUGCUAUCCAGAGCACUCUCAGUCCUGGUGAAACCUGACCUUUAAUGAAAAGACAUUUAUUAAACCCCUACUAAAGACACCCACUAAAGUCUUCUUCUGAUGCCUCAUUGUGGUAUAAAAAUGAUGCUGGAUUUCUCGAAGUCAAUACCAGUGGAAUGGUAGCUCCGGCAAGCCAAAAAGAUAUUGAAUGAAU
Molecule: non-coding RNA, 417 nt
Organism: Phascolarctos cinereus (koala)
Lineage: Eukaryota; Metazoa; Chordata; Mammalia; Diprotodontia; Phascolarctidae
Source: RefSeq, a predicted model, not a curated record